Molecule: ribosomal RNA, 279 nt
Filed under: uncultured bacterium
Lineage: Bacteria
Description: partial 16S ribosomal RNA
Rfam family: Bacterial small subunit ribosomal RNA
Source: RNAcentral
CCUGCACCUGCCGGCGACCGGCGCACGGGUGAGUAACACGUAUGGAACCUGCCCGCCACAGGGGGAUAACCCGGGGAAACCCGGCCUAAUACCCCAUGCCGCCCGGACCGGGCAUCCGGUCCGGGCGAAAGGAGGAAUCCGGUGGCGGCUGGGCAUGCGGCGCAUUAGCUUGACGGCGGGGUAACGGCCCACCGUGGCGACGAUGCGUAGGGGUUCUGAGAGGAAGGCCCCCCCACACUGGAACUGAGACACGGUCCAGACUCCUACGGGAGGCAGCAG